This 66-nucleotide transfer RNA is filed under the name Pomphorhynchus bulbocolli. Its description in RNAcentral is "tRNA-Asp". Lineage: Eukaryota; Metazoa; Acanthocephala; Palaeacanthocephala; Echinorhynchida; Pomphorhynchidae. The record is from RNAcentral.
CAUGUUAGUUUAUAGAAUGCAAAUAUGUCUUGUUUGAGGUUAAUUAUGGGUGUGAUGAUUAUGUGC